This 482-nucleotide ribosomal RNA is filed under the name uncultured bacterium. RNAcentral describes it as "partial 16S ribosomal RNA". It matches the Rfam family "Bacterial small subunit ribosomal RNA", at positions 30 to 507 of the family's 1533-position model. The record is from RNAcentral.
AUUGAACGCUGGCGGCAGGCCUAACACAUGCAAGUCGAGCGGAUGAAGGGAGCUUGCUCCUGGAUUCAGCGGCGGACGGGUGAGUAAUGCCUAGGAAUCUGCCUGGUAGUGGGGGAUAACGUCCGGAAACGGGCGCUAAUACCGCAUACGUCCUGAGGGAGAAAGUGGGGGAUCUUCGGACCUCACGCUAUCAGAUGAGCCUAGGUCGGAUUAGCUAGUUGGUGGGGUAAAGGCCUACCAAGGCGACGAUCCGUAACUGGUCUGAGAGGAUGAUCAGUCACACUGGAACUGAGACACGGUCCAGACUCCUACGGGAGGCAGCAGUGGGGAAUAUUGGACGAUGGGCGAAAGCCUGAUCCAGCCAUGCCGCGUGUGUGAAGAAGGUCAUCGGAUUGUAAAGCACUUUAAGUUGGGAGGAAGGGCAGUAAGUUAAUACCUUGCUGUUGACGUUACCAACAGAAUAAGCACCGGCUAACUUCGUG